AUCGGUGCAAAUUGUAAGUUUGUAUCAUAAUGUCUGGUGUUUUCGUAUUUGUUGGUUUGUUUUUAUUUUGUUUUAUUUUGCGAGUUGGUAAUUUUUGCUGCUCCAGCCAGCCAGAGAAUCCCCCGCCGCCCCGCCCUCUCCUCCCUGUGCCGCAAGCAGCAGGCGCACCUCGCAAACGGAGGGCGCCCUUACUCCCAGCAAAUGGGCGAUAGAAAACCGAUCGGUGCCUAUGACAUUCCCAAUAUGCGCUGGCAUGAUGUCGGGGCAGCAUGAGUACGAGCAAUUUUUUUUUUUUGCCGAUGCCCGUGAUGCCGCCCCCCACCACGAUGCCGCCCUGGGCAACCGCCCGUGUCGCCCGUAUCUAAAACCGCUACUGCCUGAGAUGUCAGCUAAAUCAGCAACUUAUGUGAACUUGACAAUGUGGGUAAGUUGAGCACAGCAGGAUUCAAAACUGCCUCACGUGACUGCUACCGAGGUGCAUCAUGGGGAAUUGGCGGUUAACGACAUGCUCACUUUACUUGGACGUUUUCUAAUCGUCUUCUUUGGAAUAUGCUUUCAAGGUGAGUAACAUUGGUUAUAACUAUAAGGAAAGAGAGCUACAAAAGUUGGAACAUGUUUUGAAUUUAUGGCAUGACGUGUGUUUUUCUCUUUUACCGAAAUGUUUGCUUUAGCUAAUGUAGCUUUAGCCGACAAGGUCCAGCUUGUGUGUCAUGACCAAACUUGACCUAAUAAACUGACACAUGGCCUUUUUUAUGGGUUUAAUGUGGCACUGACCAAAUCACAAGUAUUGUGCCGCUAGCUUUAAGAUUGUGCACUCAACCACUGUUGUGAUAUUAGCAAGCUAACUCAGCUAAUUAAUAAAGCUUAUUUCAUAUUGUCUCUGUACUUGUAAAUUUCUUUCAAGUUCACAGGCUGUUGUAUUUUGGUGGAAGUUCAUUUUGGCAAUAUUUCCAAUAACUGACUGGGUUCAAAAAGAACUUUUUGGCAGGACUCCGAUGCUUGUUGUC
Oreochromis aureus is the source of this 1007-nucleotide long non-coding RNA. NCBI's taxonomy places the organism in Eukaryota, Metazoa, Chordata, Actinopteri, Cichliformes, Cichlidae. The record is from Ensembl.